Molecule: non-coding RNA, 8947 nt
Organism: Poecilia reticulata (guppy)
Lineage: Eukaryota; Metazoa; Chordata; Actinopteri; Cyprinodontiformes; Poeciliidae
Source: RefSeq, a predicted model, not a curated record
CACACACACAUUAUUGUGACAUCCAAGCCCAAAUACCAAAGGUUAUUUCUUUUCAUUGGAAAGACUGUGGUACUUUAUUUGCCAAUUCAGAAACUCGCUCCAUCUGUCUCAGUUGUUGACCCCUUGGGAAUGACCCUUCACCCACCUUCCCUGCUGGUGGAGGUCAGAAGGUCAAAAGUGCCCGAUGGCAGAAACAGUGCCUGGGAGCUUCCACUCUGUCAGGCUCUCUCAGGGCUUCCCACCAUGUGUGAGCGUGUGUGCGUGAAUGUCUGAAUGCAGUGUGACAUACGUUGAGGUCCGCUGGACUUGAAAAAGUGGUGUGGAACAACAGGCCAUUUACCACUUACCACUGAGAUGAUCACAGCAGGUUCUGAAGCUGUUUGUGCUGCGAAUGUUGUAAAACUGAUUGCACAUUUCAACGGCCUCCUGAAAAACCACAAACCACCCUGAGUUUCUCAGCAAUCCCACAGUGAGCGCAGUACAUUACUGCUCACAAAGGGCAAAGAACAUAAGUUUCUGUAACCAUACAUCUUGGCCAGUGCAGACAGACGUGGCUAAGCUAAGAGCUGCUUCCAGGCUUCACUAACAUCACACACAGGAGACAGAAAUGCUGCCACUACAGAAACACAGGUGUGCACUUCCUUGUUGAUGGACUACAGAAGACCACCCGUAUCGUGGCUCACUUUUAUUCUGUAAAGAAAUCUUAGAUGUGAAGGGGGUCUUUGGUAGCAUUUCCUAAUGUUCAGAAACUCCUAAAACACCUGUGCAGUGUUUUAGGUUACUUCUCACAACAGGUUUUUAUUUCCUAAAGCUUAUUUUACAGUACUGUAGAAACAUUAAGGUUGUGUGUAAGAGAUCAAUUAAAGCCGACGUGGCUCACCCUCCAACAAAUCGACCCGCAAAAGCAGAAGAGCUGUACUGUUUUUGUCUUUCCUGAGAAGCUAAGAAUAGACAGAUCAUUUGAAUCAAUUUUCCGUUGAAACACUAAGUUGAGCAAUCGUUUCCUGCCGAGUAUACUUGAGCCAAAUCUUUACGAGAAAAAACCCCCAAACAAACUUCUGGCCACUUUGACAAACAGAAGCAGCUUGGCAGAACAUAAUAAAGCAAUGUCUUAUUGUGAAAUGCAAACCAGUUGUAUUUGUUCAGUCAUCUGCGUUUGACUGGCUUCCCACACUUUUUGAAUGAAACCUUCCUGAACCUGAACGGGAAAUAGUAACCUUGCACUGAAACAUGCAUCGCUGAAAAUCAGUGGACUUUUUUCAUCUGAAGGGUGAGUUCAUGAGUCAAGCUUCCAUUUUCGUUGUUAGAUCAAAAUAACAAUAAACAUAGGAAUGUUCCCACAGAUCAGCUUGUAUCAUUUCCAUUUUAACCAUGUCAGGAGGUCAUUGGAUGUUCACUUAUUUCAGAAUGCAUUUUUUCAGAUUGCAUGCAAAGAGGAAGAAGAAAAUAAAAGUGAACUUUGUCCUUUACUCUUAUGAAGGUUGCAUGAAAUGAGUUGUACUGCACAGAGCUUGGAAAAACAACAACAACAACAACAAAAAACAAACAAUGACAAAAGGUGGAAAGAGAUGGCCCCCGGAGGGCUAAAACCUUCACCAUUCCCCUGACAGACUAACCUGAAAACUAAAAAGUGUGAUUACUCACACCCUCCUACCAUGACAGACAUCACGGCUCUCACUUCCUGUGUGGAAAGCAAUUUUUCUUUUUUUGAAUGUGUGUGGGGUUCCAAUCAAGUGUGAGCUGAAGAAGUGGCAGUUAUACCAGAUGCUGGUGGUGCAAGAAAAAGCAGUUUAAUACGGUACUCAAAAUAUAGAGCAAGAAACUUCUUGAUUUGUUGCAUUUCUAAUUUAGCAGAGCAAACAGAUAAAGAGGAAAUCAGAGAGCUGCUGGACCCUACACAGGUAAGAAAAAGAACCAUACAGCUUGUUGUUUGAUGGUUAGACAGGAUGUUCCUCUGUAAGAUAAUUUUGAAGUUUAAACAUGUUUGUUUACUUUAAUUACAUGCAACGAUUUGAGUGUGUAAAUUAUUCUAUGCUUUAAAUGUAAAUAAAAAGUGUUUUAAGUGAUCUAGAAAGAUCAGUGCUGCUCAUCUAAACUCAGAUUUUUCAUAAAAAAGAUUCUUUAGAAAUAAGCUCUGGUGUGAAUACCAUGAUGCAGUUAAAUGUGCUUUGCUUUUAGGUGGGAUGGUGAAUUUCUUAAGGUAUUGCAGCAUCAACUCUUUGUUGAUAUGUUGCAUCUUCGGGAUUUUCUGGCCAGCAGGUACAACUUCCUUAUGAAUAGAUAACGAAAGACGAUUAUAUGUGCAAUGCUGUUUAAAACUUUAAGCCAUUAUUAGUUUCUUCAUGUUGCGUUAACAAGAAGCCUGACUUUCUUGUAAUUCUGUAAAUUGGUCUUUUAGUAGUUAGUUUUCAGAAGUCCAUCAAGUUUUUCUUUAGACUAGUUUAUUUUGAGAAUCGAAGAGAUUCAUCGUCCCUCAGUUGAUUGACUCUAUGUCAACAUAAGUUUAGCUCUUUAGAAGUGACGUUGGUGCCAAACCUUUGUUUAAUGGGUCCAGAUGUGUUUGGUUUGAUCUGUUGGCUUUGGUUUAGAGAUAAACAACGCAGGUUGAUAUGAAGGCAGAUUGGCUGGUAACAAAAUGGCUGAGGGAUCCAAUUGAAAAUCUGUUUUCUGUUAAAUCAUUGUUAAUAUUGAUAGAAAUUGGCAAAGUGCUGGAUCAUCCCUUGACGUUAGGAGCCGUAUUAUGCGUCGAUCAGUUAUACUUAAGAGUAAAAUUACUUAAAUGAUAAACUGACAUUUAAAAAAAAAAAGCACAAAUAAAAUAUUUUCUAAACACAGUGAAAGCAAAUACUAAUCAAGAUGACUUUAAAUGAUUGAAAGAGAGUCAGGCUUCUUGGAAACUAAAUGUUUAAAUGGCUGCUUUUUGUGUAAAAUGUUUGAUCAUCAUAUCUUUGGGUUUACUUAUCUAAUUGUUGUUUUGUUUGAACCGAUUUGUUUUAGUUUUACUUUUGCUUCUUUUUCCUACUUCUGUCAUUCACUAUCAUUUCCACAUUUUUGCUCUGUUCCAGCUUUGGUUUCUCCUGCCUUCUUCACACAUCAUUCUCCUCUUGUGGUUUAUGUUCUGUCAGGAAAUUUCUGUUUUGUUUUUCAUUCAUCAAGAAGUAGGUGAUAGGUUGACACACUAUUUUGUUGUCUGACAUAAUGGGGAAGCAAAAGAAAGUCAACCAAUAUGUCAGGAAGACAAAUUAGGAGUUUGAAAAGUCUGGUUAAUCUUUGAGGAAAACUUUCCAGAUUCUUGAAUUCGCCGUGUUGGUGUUUUCAGACAUGAUUGGAAUGCCCAACCAUCCUACCCCUCAUGAAGGAGGCUCUGUGUUCCAGAGAUUAACAUGUCAUGACAGAGUCAUUAUCCAGAAAAAUGGACAAAGACAAUCAUUAUAAGAGAUAUGUCCUCUGGUCAAUGCUGUGGUAUUGUGAUUAUAUUUGGAGGAAAAGUGAGGAGUCUUGUGAUUCUUGGAACACCGUGUUAGCUGUGAAGCACUGGAGUGAGAGCAGCAUGUUGUGGGGCUGCAGGAGGAACUGGCACACUUCAUGAAAUAGAUGGUAUCAUGAAGAAAGAACAAUACGUGGAAAUACUGAAGUAACAUCUACAGACGCCAGCUAAGAAACUAAAGCUGAAGUGUAAGUGGCUAUUCCUAAUGGACAAUGACCCUGAGUAGAAGGCCAAAGAGGUUACAGAGUGAUUUAAGGACAACAGUGUUAAUGUUGUGAUUGAACUAUCACAAAUCCCUGAUCUCAAACAAAUCAAGAACGAACAUGCGGCACAUUAAAUUCCUGGGAAUUCAUGUGAUGCAUGUUCGUUCUUGGUCAGUCGCAGUCUCUGCAUGUCCAAACUGGUUAUAAGGGGCAAACCAAUGUCUGCACCGAUGAACCAAUGUUUAAGUUGUCAUUAAUCAAAGGCAGCUCCAAUCACAUUCAUUUUUAGGCUUCAUUUACAGGAAGUCAUUGUUUCACCACUUUCUAGUUAUAGUUAACUACUACGCCAUACCAUAGUAUUACGCCAUACUGCAGAUACUUGCGCUUUACUGACACUUAUUAUGUAUUUUUGUGCAAUGUAAUUCCCCUUAGCAUUGUGCAUUGACAAAGUGCUGAGUGAUAAAACAGUAAAUUUUGAAUCUUGAGAUGCUUGUAGAGGCCAACAAUAUAUGUGACCCAAGUCAUGCAGCUGGCAGUGCUGACACAAAAAUGUACGUAAAUUUAGGAUAUUUAAGACAUUCAUGAAUAAAUAUCUCACAUAUUUUUUCUCUCAAAUAUUUUUGUUAAUUCUGAUUGUCUUAAAACAACAGACGUUUGGUCUUACUUUGCUUCAGGCAAUGAGAAAAAAAGUGUCUGUAGCUUGCACACAAACUUUUAGUUUCGACUCUAUACAUUAUCUUUAGAAAAAUCCAGAUUAGUAAGUUGUGGUUGCUGUAAAAAAAAAAAUUAAUUAGAUACUCUCCAAAUAACAUAAGCUUGAGCUGUGUUCUUGAGUUGAAAGCAGACAAAGCAACAAAAAGCAACAACUUUUUGCGUGAAUACUUUGGAGAGGGGUAGCUAAACAUUGAAUAUUAGUCCCAGGUUUGAUCAAGUGAUCGUUAUAGAAAACUGACAAACCAAACAGCGACAAAUAGUAACUCACACAAGAACAACAAACUUUUCAUCUUAACAGAUGCAGGAGGCUUCAUAAAUGGCACACAGCAGGUACAGUUCAAGAUGUGAUGUUUUACGUAAUGAGUUUCAUUUCUAGGCUUUUUGAUUCACCAGCAAGAUGGAAAAAAAGUGACGGCAUCUUUUAAAUUUUUUCACUCUGAUGUUACCCUGAUUGUCCUUAUUGUUAUUAACUGUGGUAUGUUAAAUGUGGUUAUGGUCAUUCCUACGUAGUCUGAGCUGUUAGCUGUGAUCUAUUUGUACGUUUUCAUCACCUUGUGUAGCUUGUUUGUUCAACACGGCUUCUCGUUUGUGUUUUUAGAUUUGUUUUCCUAUUUUAUUAUUAUUAUUUCUGAGUCAGUGCUCAGUGCUUGUCUAAUGACGUCCUUUUCUUUACUCUUCUUUCACACAGAAGCAAAAACAGUCACACAGGCGGCAGGCAGCAGAGUGAUCCUGAACUGUACUGACUCAAACAAAACCAUAAAAAUGGCAACUUGGAGUUUUAAUGAAAAGGUUCUUAUCUCCUUCAGAAGUCCAAAAAAUAAAAGUAUGUUAGAUGAAGGUGUCCGCCUUAACGUAGAUAUGUCUGAAUUAAAAAGUGAGCUAUAUGCACUCACCAUUGAAGACGCCCAGAAGUCACAUGAAGGAAACUACACUUGCAGAAUGACUACAUCUUCAGGACUUUUGAAUGAGCUCUGGGAGCUUGUAAUUACAGAAGAAAACAGAAGCACCAACACACUGAAUAUUAUCGUCAUAGCUGCUGUCCCUUCUGUAUGUUUCUUAAUAUUAAUAUCUGCGUUGGUCAUUCUGAAACAAAGAAAAAAGUAAGUGCUUACUGUUGGAGUUUUGAUCAUGACAACAAUGUCUUCCUGGGUCGAAACUAAAUUUCUAUCUCUUUCACAGGAACAAAUCUCCUUCAGAAAUACGGGUAAAUAAAACUUUACAAUUUAUUAGUUAUGUUUUACUCACUUUUAGGGACCAAAGUGUCCGACACAUUGUUCGCUCAAUACUUCAGGAAAAACAGUGAUUAAAGGAAGAUCGUGUCACUUUGUACAAUUACUGUGCAACCUCAACCUCCCAAAUAAUAUAUUUGUAAGUUUGCAAAAGGAAAACAAUAUUUGUAUUAUAAAAGGAUAAUAUAUGUCUUCCAGUCAAUAAGCAAAUCUUUACUUUCAGAAAAAGAGGGAAAUAUGAAGCUGAGUGCUUAGAAUACAUUGCAAUUUAAGAUGGGACAUGGAUUUCAUAGCAGAUACUGAGAGAUUUCAAGGGCAGAUUUCUUUCAUUCUUAAUCAUUUUAGGUCAUCAAACCAGUCCCAUCAGACAAGGUUAACUGGAGUAAAUGCAAAAUGUAGAUUUCAAAUGAUGAUUUUAUCUACAAGUGCAAAGAUGCGCUCCUCGCCAACCUGGCCUUGUUAAAAUACUACGGCCCUUCUUGUUAAAUUUUGAAGUUACUAUUGAACGUAUUUUGCUUUCCACACCCAUACCUACAGCCAGGCCUACAGCCUGAGCUGUAGAAUCAAGAAGUCCUUUAAAUAAAACCUGUCUGACAACAGGAAGUGGGCUAAAAGAUUUUAAAUAGCAUGGCAUCCUGCCCCCACCAAAAGAGUUUUAAGAACGGAUGAGAAGCAAACAAAGUCUUUGACGUUGAUUAGUCUGCAUUGGGUUUGUAUAAAUGGAAACUUUGAAACUUCUCGGGAAUGAGCAGUCUGCUAUAAUUACUUAAACACUGAUUCAUUCAGGAGAUUACGUAAACAUCUAUAACACUGCUGGCCUCCCCGGCCCAGCUAAAACCACUGUUGGCAAGAAAAGUUCAAAGAGUGCAAAGAUUCAUCUCAGAUUAGCCUGAAAGCAUCUUGAUGACAACUAAGAUAUUUGGGAAAUUAUUUGGUUGACUGACUAGAGCUACGUAGAAGAUUUUGGAAGAUGUGCAACCUGCUAUUUCUGGUGUAAUGCCAGCAAAUGUUUCAAAAAGAGAACAGCAUGCUGACAUUUAUAGUGGUUGAAAUGUGGUGAUCGGAACCUUUUUAUUGCUUUAUCAUUCUUAAUUGAUGAAAACAGGGAUUGUGACUUCUAGCCAAAGCUCAAUUAGGAGAAUAUCCAGCUCACUUACUGACUGAACUGAAACAGUUCUGCUAUUAGGUCUGGAUGCUUCCUUGUACAGAAAACCAAGUUGUUGUGGAUUGCUUUUUUUUUUUAUUUUUAACCAAAAUAAAUGUUAUCUGAAAUAGAUUAGAUUCAAUCUGUAACUUGAACUACUUAGGUUACCAUUGUCUGAGUAAAGCAUUUGUAAAGGAGACAUUGCGUUUUUCUUGAACACAUAAAGCUGUUCUGAAAAGAACUCAUGAAUCAUCUGACCUCUGUUUUGUUCCUCUUUUUACAGCAGCAAAAGCAAAUGGAAGAUAUUUAUGAAAACCGAUUGGAAAUUCAGCGCCGCCAAGUUUACCUCAACAAACCCUGACGUUGCUGCUGUUGACGCUGCUUUCAGUAGAACGUCGCAAGGGACACGGUGUUCUGAAUCCACCAUCUGCUCUUAAAUGCCCUCUUUAUGGUGAUAGCUAUGAGUCUCCGGCGAGGAAACGUGACAGAGGCAAUAUUUGUUUUUCCCAUGUUGAAUAGAACAGGCUUUAGUAUUCCACGCUGUUUGCUCUGUGGCUUAUCGCAGUCAUUGCUUUCCACAAAUAUUUAAAUUCAUCACACUUUUUGGACUUUACAUUACACAGGUUCUCUUUUCCUCCUAGUCAAAAGAGUUUUGUUAUAAACCACGACCACUGAGUAUUUUUGGAUUUCACUCAAACCACAGUGUGAUUCAAAGGUAGUUCCCAACUUCCAAUUACUCAACAUUUUUGUCAUCGGGCGAGAAGCAGAACAUCUUGGUCAGGUUGUGAGUCCAUCACAAAGGGAUACAAAACUCUUUGCCGAAAGACCCCAAACCAGGAUUCAAACCCAGGACUUUCUUGCAACAAUGCUAAGGUUGUAUCACUGCGCCAGUCUGAAGCCUCCAUAAAGUGUUAACAAAAAAUUUAAUAUAUUUUGGUUGUAUUUUAUUUUAUAUGGUAGACCAACACAUUGACGGAAAUUACUGGGGUGGCUUUCAAUAUGAUGUGCAUUUAAAUUAAGCUCCACUUACGCUGAAAUAGAGAUUUCCCAGAGUGUGAUUAAUUCCCAUAAAUCAGUCAGAGGUUUGUCUGAGCGCAUUACAGAAUAAUGAGGACCAAGAACAAUGGCGUACAGAUCAUGGCAAACAAGCGGAAGAAGAUGCUCCGGUCAGACAGAACGAAAUUGAAACUUUUCUACCCCAAUUUGGGGAAGGAAAUUACCACUUCAUAUUAUCCUUUAAGCUUGGUACAUAUUGUGGGACUUCAAAAGUCGUACAGGACUGAAACGCAGCACACUCUGUAAACUUGGUGCAAUAACUCUUGGCACACUGGAAAAUAGAAGAUCUGGAAAACAUUCAGAGGAAAAUCUCAUAACUUAUUUCCUGUAACCAUGACAGCAAGCUUGUGAUGGCUUCCUCCCGUGACUGUCAGUCACUCAGUUGUGCGACUGAUAGUUGCCCAACUGAGCGACUUCAAUAUUCAGACCGUUCACCUACUUCACACUUGGUCAGCUGAAGCUCUAUUGUUAUAUACGUCUGUUCUCAAAGGGGUUGGGUGUUAAAAACAACAAAACGGAGGCAUGGGUCUGUUUUUAGUUCUACCUUUAAUAAAGCAGGAAGCUACAAAUACCAACAGCUACAACAGAAAAUAAGACAUGCCAAGGAAUAUGUAAAUGCAAACUCAUGAAACAGAAUAAAAAUCUAAAAGCUGGAGCAGAAUGAAAAUUGCACAGCAAGAUAUAAGGCACAAAAAAUUAUUAAAAAUGCUUUUUUUCUUCUUGCAGCUAAUAAAUAGAAAAAGAAAUAUGAACAAUGAUAUGUGUUUAAAAAUAUUUCUUGCUUUGCUUACUAAAGCUUGCAAAAGCAAAAACAACAAAUGUCUACACAUAUAUUUGGACAUGAUUUGAAACGUCAAAAUGUCAGAACAAAACAGCAAGAAAGCAGAGAAAGCAGAUUUUGUAUGUUCCCAUUUUUGCCCGAGGCUGAACAAAAACUAUAAACUUAGAAUGUAGGCUUAUAACGUGGAUAAGAACACCAAGUUUUAAACACUGUAAGUGUAAAUGGUUUUUCUACACACAGGACACACAUUUAUAAAACAAAAAAUGAAAAUCACACAACUUUGUCUCUUUUAAGUGUAACCAGAUUUAGCUGUAAGGCACUUCAAUAAAAAAA